This 382-nucleotide ribosomal RNA is filed under the name Hoplobatrachus rugulosus (rugose frog). RNAcentral describes it as "partial 12S ribosomal RNA". The record is from RNAcentral. Lineage: Eukaryota; Metazoa; Chordata; Amphibia; Anura; Dicroglossidae.
UCCUAGCCUUAUUAUCAAUUAUCUUUUAACUUACACAUGCAAGUCUCAGCACACCCGUGCAGGACGCCCUUUACCCCUACCAGGCUUAGGAGCUGGUAUCAGGCGCAGCCCAUAACACCUAGUCCCACCACACCCCCAAGGGUACUCAGCAGUGAUAAACAUUGUCUAUAAGCGCCAGCUUGACCCAGUUAUAAAGAAGAGGGCCGGCCAACUUGGUGCCAGCCGCCGCGGCUGGACUCAAAUUGAUAAUUCCCGGUAAGCGUGAUUAAAGCCAUACACCAAUUAGAGUUAAACCUAUGUUGAGCAGUGAAAAGACGAAAGUUACUCUAAUCUUGAAUACACGACAGCUAGAAUACAAACUGGGAUUAGAUACCCCACUAUG